Long non-coding RNA from Nannospalax galili (Upper Galilee mountains blind mole rat), 2247 nucleotides. RefSeq lists it as uncharacterized. Lineage: Eukaryota; Metazoa; Chordata; Mammalia; Rodentia; Spalacidae. The transcript is spliced from 2 exons. The record is from RefSeq and is a predicted model, not a curated record.
UCGCAGCUUGUGCGUCACGACGCCGCCAGCUGAUCGGAGACUGAAGCCGGUGUGUGCUGGGCGCUGUGAAGAGACAGCCGCCGGCCGUGGGGAGAGGACGCAGUGGUUUGCUCCCCUACCUUCAGCAACCCCCACACCCAGCAUAAGGAACCUGUGCCUCCCACACCCUCACCUGGCUGAGCCGCAGUAGUUCUUCAGUGGCAAGCUUUAUGUCCUGACCCAGCUAAAGCUGCCAGUUGAAGAACUGUUGCCCUCUGCCCCUGGCUUCGAGGAGGAAGAGGAGGAGCAGAGUCUUUGCCUAUCAUCUGGAAGGUGACAGAACUGGGUUUGGGAAGUCCUGCUCAGCUGGGGAACCCUCACCCACACAGGCCCUGCAAGAGAAGAUUUAGGUUAAAAGUGCUGGCUGAAUUGGGGAAUAGGUGACUCCAUCUCCCCAAGGUUAGUUGGUCUUUGUGUGGCAAUGGGAAGAAGCAGAAAGAAGGAAAGUCUGUCUACCCUUUUACCCACAUUUCAUCCUAGGCCUUCCUUAUCUCCCAUCCUCCCCUCCUCUUUCCAAGUAAGGUCCAAAAGUAAGCGUACUCAGGUGACUGAAUUGCAGAUCUAGGUUGUCCUCCCUGUGCUUUUACCUCUCUCUGUAUUUUAUAUACUGGUUUAGAUUUUAGAUUUAGGGCUGCUUACCUCCAUGAAGUGUUUAUACCCAUCAGAGCCUGGGUUCUCUUGUGAGUAGGAACAAAACAGCUCAUCACAUAAAUUGUUGUCCCUUACCCAUCUCUGAUUACACAAGCCCAGUGCUGGAGUACUAGGAUAGAGGGAAAGGUGAAGGCUAGAUCAAUGCAAGAAGCUAAUAGGAAGCCAUGCAAGGGUGGCCUUGGGUCACCUCUACCCACAGUAGGACUACAGCUCUUGGUUGGGUCUUAGCAACUACUGCUAUUCUUUCUGCCUUUGCUUUCCAAGAUUAGUAAGUGAGAUUCAGUUCAGGACUGUGCAGGCAAGAAAUUGUCUCCUCUAGCAACCAGGAGGGAUGGGUUGUGGGAUCUGAGCCUCUUGUGAACAUCAGGCAUCAUAAACCUGCACCUCCAGCUCCUGAUCUCACUCUUAGGCUUGGACUCUGGGAUUCAACCUUGGCCCUGUCUCCCUAAUAAAAGAUGGCCAAGUUUGGGGGCUACAGGAAGCUAUUUGUUCUGUUUGGUGGGAGGAGAUAUGACGGGCACUCUAUCCUAUUCUCCAUUUAUGAGAAACUGAAAGCCAUAGGGGAGAGUAGAUCAUUGAAUCCAGCCCUGCUGCAGCCUAAGCUGAAGGGUAGGAUGUGUGAGGGACUGAGUAGAGUGGGGUUGGUUAGCUGAGUCUGUUCAUACAUUCCAACAAAGAUCACUCUGUCCCUGGACAUUACUUUCUUCCCCUCCUCACUUCACUGGCCACAGUGUGUCCCCUUCCAGCCCUGGGUACAUGGCUUUGCAUCUUCACCCAACAUGGAACAGAAGUGAGGAAGGGCAGCCUGGCAACACAGAGGCAGGCAGAAGACCAGUGAAGGAUCUGGCCUGGAGCCACAGGGCCCUCCCUAUCUGGGUAUUUGUCAGAGAGACCCAUAAAACUCUGGAGUACACCAGGAAGGAGAACAGCCAGCCUCCGUCAAAGACAAGUUCCAGCCAUUUCCUCUGCAGAUCUACCUCUCUUGGAGAUAAGGACCCUUAAUGAAGUGUGGUCCCAUUUUUCUCUACCAUGCAGUUUCUAUAUAAGCAGCCUCAAGGAGCAUGAGCCAGCUGUGCAAGGACAUACACAGGAAAUUAAAAUGUGUAACACUAUGGAAAAUGUAUUCUUGACUGGGGCUGUAGCUCAGUUGGUAGAAUGCUUGCCUAGCAUGCACAAAACCCUGGGUUCUGUCUCCAGCUCUGCAUAAAACUGGAUGUGGUGGCACAGGCCUGUAAUCUCAGCACUCUGGAGGUGGUGGCAAGAGGAUCCAACAUUCAAGGACAUCCUUUGCUACACAUUGAGUUCUAAGCCAGCCUGGACUACAUGAGACCCUGUCUCCAAGAAAUAUAUAUUCAUUAAUAAUCUAAAGGCAGACAUUGCUCAAAGUAUUUUUUUCCUUAUCACAGUAUGACAAAUAAGACCCCCAAAAAUGUUCCCAUAUGUUGCAUGUGGCCAUAUCAAACACCAGAAGAAAUUCCCUGUCUUUUUAACCCAGUAAUUAUGUGUUGGGAAAUUUAUCUUAAAAUAAGAAUUUGAUUAUAAAAUGUUUGUUUCAGA